Molecule: transfer RNA, 65 nt
Filed under: Dipodomys ordii (Ord's kangaroo rat)
Lineage: Eukaryota; Metazoa; Chordata; Mammalia; Rodentia; Heteromyidae
Rfam family: tRNA
About the family: Transfer RNA (tRNA) molecules are approximately 80 nucleotides in length.
Source: Rfam by way of RNAcentral
GGUGGCUCAGUGGUAAAGUACUUGCCUUGCAUGCAUGAGGACCUGGGUUCGAUUCCUCAGCACCA